UUAUNUAGGAAGNAAUAGACCUUGCGAGGNAAGUUGACGGUACUAUAUGNAUAAGCACCGGCUAACUCCGUGCCAGCAGCCGCGGUAAUACGGAGGGUGCAAGCGUUGUCCGGAUUUAUUGGGUUUAAAGGGUGCGUAGGCGGUUUAUUAAGUCAGUGGUGAAAGACGGUCGCUCAACNAUUGCAGUGCCAUUGAUACUGGUAGACUUGAGUGGGAUUGAGGUAGCUGGAAUGGAUAGUGUAGCGGUGAAAUGCAUAGAUAUUAUCCAGAACACCAAUUGCGUAGGCAAGUUACUAAGUCUCAACUGACGCUGAGGCACGAAAGUGUGGGUAUCAAACANGGAUUAGAUACCCUGGUAGUCCACACUGUAAACGAUGAUAACUAACUGUUGGCUUUCGGGUCAGUGGUACNGAGAAAUCGUUAAGUUAUCCACCU
This 435-nucleotide ribosomal RNA is filed under the name uncultured bacterium. Its description in RNAcentral is "bacterial SSU rRNA". It matches the Rfam family "Bacterial small subunit ribosomal RNA", at positions 434 to 874 of the family's 1533-position model. The record is from RNAcentral.